CCUACGGGAGGCAGCAGCCGCGGUAAUGCGGGAAACCGUGACGCAGCGACGCCGCGUGAGGGAAGAAGGCCUUCGGGUUGUAAACCUCUUUCAGGAGGGACGAAGCCACUCGGGUUAAUAGCCCAGAGGGUGACGGUACCUCCAGAAGCAGCCACGGCUAACUUCGUGCCAGCAGCCGCGGUA
RNAcentral lists this ribosomal RNA (183 nucleotides) under uncultured bacterium. RNAcentral's name for it is "partial 16S ribosomal RNA". It matches the Rfam family "Bacterial small subunit ribosomal RNA", at positions 338 to 522 of the family's 1533-position model. The record is from RNAcentral.